This is a long non-coding RNA of Equus asinus (donkey), 6548 nucleotides long. The record is from Ensembl. NCBI's taxonomy places the organism in Eukaryota, Metazoa, Chordata, Mammalia, Perissodactyla, Equidae.
CAGCGCUCCGUGGAGAGUGCGAGGGCCUGUUCAGGAGGAGGCAGAGGCAGCCUUCAGAGCCAGGUUUUCCUCCCUCCACGGGUGGAUGGAGAGGGUAGGGCAGAUGCCCCAGGUGGGGUAGGCAGUGGCCAUUUUCAUCCCAUGGCAUCCAUGUGGUCAGCCCUGUGGCCUGAUGGGAGGCCAGACCAGAAGAAUGGGGACCUCAGUGUCUGCCUCUAUCUCCCCAAAAAGCUCCUGUGGUCAUUCCGACUCAAUUUGGCUAAUUUGGUUGUUGGCAGAGGGACAGGACAGCUGGCUCAGGACCUGCUGAUUAUAGCUGCUCGAGUAUUUGAACAGAGGUAUUGAGUCCCUCAUGUCAUGGUUUUUUCUUGCAGAUAAACUAACCGUUUAACCUUUGUUCUGAGCGCCGGCGGACCCGCUGUUAAUUGCCCUGGCCCCCUCUGUCUCCACCAACCUGCCCCCCAGGGGGGAGGUCACAUGAGGACCCCCCCAACUCUUACCUUUGAUGAAAGUGUUCAGCGGAUCUGGUCCUGUUGCGUCAGCCGGAAGGUGGCUUCUUUCUAAAAAGUUAUUAGAUAAAUUCAUUUCUUUAAUGAUGGAAGUCCAGGCUUGGGUGCGUGCGCGCAUCGUCCGCAGUAGCAAUCAAUCGGACACACCCGCAGCCUUCCCCUGUUUUUCCCACAGGACUCCAUCCCAAGGUGCCUUUUCCCACGUUGCUGCAUUCGGGUGCCCCCGUGAUAUUUCUUUGUACUGUGUGCCAGGCACUGUUUUAGUUCUUUUAAUCCUUAUAUCAACAUGUGUGUUACUUUUAUUACCUCAUUUUUCAGAAGGGGAAGCUAAGGCCCAGGGACAAACCUCAAACCACUCUUGGGUCCGACCUCACAUCUCUAAUGGGGACUGACCAAGGCGGCCCCUCCUUCAGGCCUCAGGGCCAGCAGGUGAACCCUGGUCCUCAUGGUCCUCCAGCCUUUGCCCUCUGACUCCUGAGCUCUGGACAAGCCCCCGCUUCCUGCCAGAGCCUCAUUUUGCUUCUCCAGCAAAUGCACAUAGGAAUUCCUCUGAGUCUGGGGCCUGGGCCUCAGGUGCAACCGCAAGUGGAUCUCUUAGCUCCCUGAGCUCCGGCUCCACCAGCAAUUGUGAGUGGCAUCUUCCCAGGUGGUGGUCUGUCCUUCACCUGGGACCCCUGUCGUGAGGACUUCAGUAAUAUUUUGUCUUGCCCCUGGUGUCAAUCUGCACUUGCCCUUCCCUCGUUUAGCACACAGUAGGGCUGUUGGCAGCAGGUGAGGCCUGAGGCAACAGCUCGGUGGCCAACAGCCCCGUGAGCACUUUCUCUUCUCCCCUCCCAGGUGGCGUGGAGGUGCAUCGGCGGCUUCCUACCGGGAAGGAAGCAGAUGCCUGGCCCAGGAUCAAAUCAAAGGUCUGGAAAAUGAUCUUUUUUUUCCCCUGAUUUGUAAAUUCGACAAUUUGUAAAUGUGUAGACUCCUCAGAAUGGAACUAACUUGAGCCCUUCGUUCCCCAGCCGAGGCUCACUGCCCCCCGGAUGGGCAGUGAGUCGGUGGGUUCCUGAGGCCAGGGAGCAGCCCAGCCCUGCCCCUCGGGAUGACACACCUUCCCAGAGGGGUGUGGCGCCCUCCCAGGCUGACCUCCCAGCAGACCAGGUAGCCUUCCGGAGGAGCGGAUGUCUUCACGUUGAAUUACCCCAGCCCGGAGGUGAGUGCAGUGUCCCUGGCUCCCGUGUUGCCUGCUUCUGAUGUUCCCUAACUGAAACCUGCCUCAUGUUCCUCCCUGGGCCGAUGGGCAGUUUCAGAGGACAGAGCUGUCUGCUCUGCGGCGCUGGUUGGCGUGUUCCAAACACUGUCCAGAUUCUUGCCUCUGCUUUCAAGGGGCGCUGGGACUCUAGAAACUGAGAGGACUUUGAGAAGUUAGUGGCUUGUCCCAGAUCGGCUAGGAGGUGGGACCCGGGAUUCCAACCCAGAAUGAAGGCCCCAGAGUCGGUCUAAUAAUACUCUGUUGGUGAUGAUCUUGGCUGUGACCUCUGCGGGAAAUGAGCCAUGGACCAAGCAGUGUGAGUGAUGGAUGAAUGCUCUAGAGCUGAUUAGCCAUUUUAUAAUGAUGAAUGGCUUCCCUCUGUGGGUAAGGAGCAUGGAGGCUGAUAUUCAAUAUACCCAAUCUGAUUUAUUCGUUAUCCAGUGAUGAAGAUCUUGGCUGUCACUUCUGUGGAUAAGGAGCAGAGGAACUCAUGUAAGGAACAAAGUUCGUGUUCCUGGUGUGCAGUGCGUUUUCCCCAAGUGAACACCACAGAUGAUUUAGUCAUUCUCUGAUGCUAAAGCUCCUGGCUUUUACAAAACCUGUGGAAUGACCAUGGGACAGUGGACUUACUCAUUUUCUAAGUGGGUAAAGAACACAGAGACAAACAAGAACAAGACAGAGCUGAUCUAAUCAUCCUGUAACUGUGUAGGCCCUGGCUCUUACUUCUGGGACCAAGGAGCAUGAACACUGAUAGUGAACAUAAGACAGCCGAUUUCAUCAUUUAAUAAAGAAUUGUUAUCGUGAGCAAGGAGCAUAAAGACAAAUAUAAAGUGAAUGCACUCUACCAGAUUUGGUUGUCAUCUCGUGGUGAAGAUCUUGCCUUUUACCUCUUUGGGUAAAAAGAGGUCAAUUCAUUGUCCAUUGAUGGGGAUCUUGACUGUUACUUCUGUGAGUAAGGAACAAUGUAAGUAGCAAAGGUUCUCUUCUUGGUUUGUAUGGUUUGUUCACAUGAGCUCACUGAGGUAGUUCAAUAGAACAACAUCCAAUAACACCAACUAUGGACCAAUAGUGGGAAUGUGUUAUGGGCCAAGGAGUAGAAUUAACCCAUGUUAGCACAAAUGAGAUUCAUUUCUUAAAUUGAUGGAAGGCAUUUAAUUAAUUUUCAUAACCGUUUGCUAUUUCAUAUUAUUUCUGCACCACAGUUGAUUUAAGCAUUUCCAUAUUGGUAGAGAGCCAGGCUGUUUGCUAUUUAGAGGAAGCCCUUGGAAGGUGGAACAUAUUGUCUGUGUUCUAGAAGCGGGGUACCAUUGUGGUUUUUGGUUGUUUAUUAUACCAUGUUUAAAAUUGGAUAAAUUAAAUGAACAUGGCCCAAUCAUGGAUCGUUUUUAGGGAGGGCACUGUUAUGAAACCAGGUUUACACUGAGAUCUAGUGUAAAAGUUCUGGGAGAAAUCAGUCUAGAGACAGAUCAUAGUUAAAUCAAGGACCUUGUUCUCGGGAGUUUGUGAUUCAUGCGAAAGUGAAGAUAGAAAUGCAUGAAGAAGAGGAGUGCCAGGCCUGGACCAAUGAUGAGAUUGGAGGGUGUCUGAAUCAAAACUUUUGAUUAAAGCCAUCUGGAACUCUGAGGUCCAUUAUUAAAAAGUGUCCUCCUUUCUUCCUCUACGGAAAUGAGCUUAUCACAGAAGUUCAGAACUUUCAGGCAUCUUGACCUUGGGCAUACACAUUUCAUAAGUACGGAUUUAAUUUUUAUAAGUAAAUCAAGGCAUGAGUGAAUGAAGAAAUGUCAAAAUGGGUAAAUAUAAGGAAAGUUGUACAUUGGCCAAUGAUGAGGCAUGGGUUAUUAUUAAACAUUUCUGUAGCACUGAAUUCCAGUGAAAUAUAUUCAUAUAUCUCUUUUGGAAGGAGUGUAUAGACAGAUAUAUAUAAGACUCAAUUUUAUUGUUUGAUGUAGGUGGUUAUUUGCUGGUUGGUUGUUUUAGAGAAGGGAAAAUUAUGUAAAUAAAUAAUUUAUUAAGUAGUUAUUUAAUUGGAAAAAGAAUGAGCAUAGUUCAACUUGAGAAUAUGCCUUAUGAAAAGACUUAUUAUUAAUCUCCCUCUGUUCACUGCGUUUUAUUAAAAACAAGGAAAAGCAUUUGGUUUUUGAAUCUCUGUGGGCAAUGUAAUAGACAUAUCGAGACAGAGCAAUAUUAUUCGAGUUUCCUAAGGUUAGUUAAUUCCCAGUUAUUGAUAAAUUACUACGUGUGAAUAGAUUAUGUCCUAAUCACAGUCAGUAGUUAAAAACGGGACAAAACAUGGCCCUGUAAGAAGCAAGAAUAAUGAUUAAUCUUUGUCUGUACUACUGAUCCUCUCUUCCUAGUUUAGGUUUGGGCAUUUACACACACAAGGGGCAUUUCUAUUCUAGGUUGUUCAUGGCUUUACCAUUGUGUAUGUUUGUGUGUUAGUAUAUUUGAAUAUAUGAUCAAAUAUUCCAUGAGUCAUUUCAUAGACGAAUAAACAAAACAAUGAACGAUUGAGUUAACAUAUAAAUAGGGUCAAGCGUAGAUCUUGGUGAGGAUGUGCCAUGAAUGACAAAUUUAAAUUCACCCAUUUCUAUACGAAUUGAGUCCAUUAAAAAAAAGAGUAUUUAGGCUCUUGCCUACACGGGCAGGACUGUGUGGACAGAUAUGUAGAAUAUCAUAGUCCUUAUUUUUGAAUGAUGAACGUGGCAGUGUUCAUUGUUACUUAAAAUUAGCAGUCACAUCAGGAAAUAAAGGGGGCUGUUCUUGGGUCAGUGAUGAAAGUGAGACUUGAAUCAACUUCAUGAUUAACCUAAUACCACACAACUAAUGUCCUUUAAAUCAAGCUAAACCUGGACUCUUCCUUCUUCUAAAUGUUGGCAUUGGACUCCACAGAAGGAAGCCCAUGGCUGAUUCAGUCAGGCUCUGCUGCUGAAGAUCUCACCUGUUACCUUUGUGGAGAAUGGGCGCACCGUGAUUCAGUUAAGGAGUGUAGAAUCUUAUGGUGGGCAGUCGAGCUGAUUGAAGCAUCUUCCGUGAUCGGAAGCUCCAUAUGUAGGAGAAUGGAGAUGAGUAAUGGGUGCACUGGAGGUGGUUUAAGGAUUCUUCUGUGGUGACAAGAUGUCUGGUUGUCUCUCUGUGUUUGGCACAUAGAAACAAAUAAUGAACACAUCGAAGCUGAUUUAAGAAUUAUGCCUUGGUCAACAAUCUCUAUAUUUGUCUGUAGGAGCAUGGAAACCAACAUGGAUGCUCUCGAGUGGGUUUAAGCAUCUUCUAUGAUCACAUGCUCGACAGUUGCCUCUGUGUAAUGAGUAUAGAGACCAGUAAUAGACACCUGAACUUAUUUAAGCGUUUGGCCAUGAUCAGGAGCUCCAUCGAUGCCCCCGUGCACGAGCGUGGAGACCAAUAAUGGAGGCGAGAGCUUCUGUCACGAUCAAGAUCUUCGUGUUGCCUCUGUUGGAAAGAGACCAAGGGACAUACUGGAGCUGAUGGAAGAAUUCUUUCACUGCUGCACCCUCUUUGUUGGCUCUGUGUGUUAGGUGCAUGGAGCACAACAAAGAAAACACCUGAAAUGGUUUAAGCAUCUGCCCUGUUCAGGAGCCCCAAAGUAGCCUCUCUCUGUAGGAACAUUUAGUCCAGUAAUGGACACACUCAAGAUGAUUUAACUAUUUUUAUGGUCCCGAGAUCUGUGGUUUCCUCUGUGUGUUAAGAGCGUAGAGACUAAUAACGAGCUGAUUUAAGCAUCUUUUGUGGUCCCCAGCUCUGUGGUUGCAUCCGUGUGUUAGGAGCAUAGAGACCAAUAAUGGACAUGCUCCAGCUGAUUUAAGGAUUCUUCCAUGCUCACACGUUCUAUGGAUGCAUCUGUGUGUUACAGUGUGGGGAACAAUGUUCUGCCGAUGCUGCCUGUUGGGAAACAACGUUUUGAGAAUCGCUGAUAAUAGGCAGAUCUAUGUGACGUUAGUUAAUGUCUUUGCUCUGCAUCAGUGAAUGGAUGUACCUGAACUGAUUGAAGCAUUCUGAAAAGACCAAGAGCUCUAGGCCGCCGCUGUGUUUAGGAAUGUAUAUUUAAAGUUUUCCCUGAACAUUCCUUAAUUGAUAAAGAUAUAAGCUAUUUUCAUGAUGAGGAAAAAGCACUUAGGAGAUGGGGCGUGCUCACUGCUAAUCCAGCUUCUACCGUGAUCUCAGGAUCAGAAGCUUCUGGUUGCCACUAUGUGUGGGGACCCGUAGAAGAUGAAGAAUAAAAGGGAAAACCUGGACCAGUGGUGAUGGCCGGUGCAUGUGAGUCAUACACAGACAGGUGUUGGAGCUGAUUUUAGCUUCUGCCAUGAUCAAGAUUGUCAUGUUGCCUGUGUGUUAGGAAAAAGAUUAAGAAUGGACACACUUGAGGUGACUUAAGCAUCUUCCACGAUCUUGAGCUCUGUGGUCGCAUCAUGCAUUAGGAAUGUGGAACCGAUAAUGGAUGCCCUUGAGCUGAUUUAAGCAUCUUCCAUGGUCAGGAGUUCUGUGGUUGCACCUGUGUGUUAGGAGCAUGGAAAACAAUAAUGGAUAUAUUCCAGCUGAUUUAAGCGUCCUCCCUGGUCAGGAGCUCUGUCGUUGCAUCUCUGUUUGAGCAGCAAGGAGACCAACACUGGGUGCCGUCAAGGUGAUUUAAGGAUUCGUCUGUGGUCACAAGGUCUCGUUGCAUUCGUGUGUUAGGAGACCAUGUGAGUAAAAGUCAAAAUUUUGGUAUUAGUUCAAUACUUUGUUUAAGGGAUUGUUGAAAACUGUGAAAUAUAAUCCAUGAAUCCAAAUAGCCCACUGAGAAA